This 205-nucleotide long non-coding RNA is filed under the name Vigna radiata. RNAcentral's name for it is "long non-coding RNA (VRAD_LNC015156)". The record is from RNAcentral. Lineage: Eukaryota; Viridiplantae; Streptophyta; Magnoliopsida; Fabales; Fabaceae.
CAAAGGAGAAACGAAAUAGAGAAGAGAAAGACGGACAAGAACGUGAUACCUGAAAACAAUAGCCCUAAAAUGAAGGAGCCCUAAGGUAAUGAUGGAAGAGCAACUCUGAGAAGAGGCCUGAAGGCGCGAUUUGAACUGUAAUGAGGCUCCUCUGGUGAAGAAACACAGUGGAAUGAUGUAAAUUGGGAAGAGAACUCGAGACCAG